Molecule: ribosomal RNA, 497 nt
Filed under: uncultured bacterium
Lineage: Bacteria
Description: partial 16S ribosomal RNA
Rfam family: Bacterial small subunit ribosomal RNA
Source: RNAcentral
GAUGAACGCUGGCGGCGUGCCUAAUACAUGCAAGUCGAGCGAACAGGCGAGGAGCUUGCUCCUCUGACGUUAGCGGCGGACGGGUGAGUAACACGUGGAUAACCUACCUAUAAGACUGGGAUAACUUCGGGAAACCGGAGCUAAUACCGGAUAAUAUAUUGAACCGCAUGGUUCAAUAGUGAAAGACGGUUUUGCUGUCACUUAUAGAUGGAUCCGCGCCGCAUUAGCUAGUUGGUAAGGUAACGGCUUACCAAGGCAACGAUGCGUAGCCGACCUGAGAGGGUGAUCGGCCACACUGGAACUGAGACACGGUCCAGACUCCUACGGGAGGCAGCAGUAGGGAAUCUUCCGCAAUGGGCGAAAGCCUGACGGAGCAACGCCGCGCGAGUGAUGAAGGUCUUCGGAUCGUAAAACUCUGUUAUUAGGGAAGAACAAAUGUGUAAGUAACUAUGCACGUCUUGACGGUACCUAAUCAGAAAGCCACGGCUAACUACGUG